This 632-nucleotide ribosomal RNA is filed under the name uncultured bacterium. RNAcentral describes it as "bacterial SSU rRNA". It matches the Rfam family "Bacterial small subunit ribosomal RNA", at positions 61 to 691 of the family's 1533-position model. The record is from RNAcentral.
GUCGAACGAAGCAUUUCAAUCAGAUUUUUUCGGAAUGAAGAUUUUAAUGACUGAGUGGCGGACGGGUGAGUAACGCGUGGGUAACCUGCCUUAUACUGGGGGAUAGCAGCUGGAAACGGCUGGUAAUACCGCAUAAGCGCACAGUAUCGCAUGAUACAGUGUGAAAAACUCCGGUGGUAUAAGAUGGACCCGCGUCUGAUUAGCUUGUUGGUGGGGUAAAGGCCUACCAAGGCGACGAUCAGUAGCCGACCUGAGAGGGUGACCGGCCACAUUGGGACUGAGACACGGCCCAGACUCCUACGGGAGGCAGCAGUGGGGAAUAUUGCACAAUGGAGGAAACUCUGAUGCAGCGACGCCGCGUGAGUGAUGAAGUAUUUCGGUAUGUAAAGCUCUAUCAGCAGGGAAGAUAGUGACGGUACCUGACUAAGAAGCUCCGGCUAAAUACGUGCCAGCAGCCGCGGUAAUACGUAUGGAGCAAGCGUUAUCCGGAUUUACUGGGUGUAAAGGGAGUGUAGGUGGUAUCAUAAGUCAGAAGUGAAAGCCCAGGGCUCAACCCUGGGACUGCUUUUGAAACUAUGAAACUAGAGUGCAGGAGAGGUAAGUGGAAUUCCUAGUGUAGCGGUGAAAUGCGU